GAUGAACGCUGGCGGCGUGCCUAAUACAUGCAAGUCGAGCGAACGGACGAGAAGCUUGCUUCUCUGAUGUUAGCGGCGGACGGGUGAGUAACACGUGGAUAACCUACCUAUAAGACUGGGAUAACUUCGGGAAACCGGAGCUAAUACCGGAUGAUAUUUUGAACCGCAUGGUUCAAAAGUGAAAGACGGUCUUGCUGUCACUUAUAGAUGGAUCCGCGCUGCAUUAGCUAGUUGGUAAGGUGACGGCUUACCAAGGCAACGAUGCAUAGCCGACCUGAGAGGGUGAUCGGCCACACUGGAACUGAGACACGGUCCAGACUCCUACGGGAGGCAGCAGUAGGGAAUCUUCCGCAAUGGGCGAAAGCCUGACGGAGCAACGCCGCGUGAGUGAUGAAGGUCUUCGGAUCGUAAAACUCUGUUAUUAGGGAAGAACAUAUGUGUAAGUAACUGUGCACAUCUUGGCGGUACCUAAUCAGAAAGCCACGGCUAACUACGUG
This 497-nucleotide ribosomal RNA is filed under the name uncultured bacterium. Its description in RNAcentral is "partial 16S ribosomal RNA". It matches the Rfam family "Bacterial small subunit ribosomal RNA", at positions 28 to 507 of the family's 1533-position model. The record is from RNAcentral.